AUACUUAUGUGGCAGAAGAGAUACCACGAUCGCAAAGGUGGUUCCCAGGGUGAGGCUUAUGCAUUACACUAUGCAUGUGCUGACCCCUGAGAUUUCCCCAAAUUCUGGAAACUCAACUGCAUCAUUUGUGGUAGUGGGGGACUGCAUUCAUGCUUUCCUUUG
Small nuclear RNA from Fukomys damarensis (Damara mole-rat), 162 nucleotides. Its record names the gene U1. It matches the Rfam family "U1 spliceosomal RNA". From Rfam's summary of the family: U1 is a small nuclear RNA (snRNA) component of the spliceosome (involved in pre-mRNA splicing). Its 5' end forms complementary base pairs with the 5' splice junction, thus defining the 5' donor site of an intron. The record is from Ensembl. NCBI's taxonomy places the organism in Eukaryota, Metazoa, Chordata, Mammalia, Rodentia, Bathyergidae.